RNAcentral lists this ribosomal RNA (565 nucleotides) under uncultured bacterium. RNAcentral describes it as "bacterial SSU rRNA". It matches the Rfam family "Bacterial small subunit ribosomal RNA", at positions 321 to 885 of the family's 1533-position model. The record is from RNAcentral.
GAGAGACGGCCCAGACUCCUACGGGAGGCAGCAGUGGGGAAUCUUGCGCAAUGGCCGAAAGGCUGACGCAGCGGCGCCGCGUGUGGGAGGACGCCUUUCGGGGUGUAAACCACUGUUGCCCGGGACGAAUAUCCUGUUUAGACAGGAUUGACGGUACCGGGUGAGGAAGCACCGGCUAACUCCGUGCCAGCAGCCGCGGUAAUACGGAGGGUGCGAGCGUUGUCCGGAAUCAUUGGGCGUAAAGGGCGCGUAGGUGGCGGGACAAGCGUGCGGUGAAAGCUCGGGGCUCAACCCCGAGUCGGCCGUGCGAACUGUUUUGCUGGAGCACUGUAGAGGCAGGCGGAAUUCCGGGUGUAGCGGUGGAAUGCGUAGAGAUCCGGAAGAACACCGGUGGCGAAGGCGGCCUGCUGGGCAGUUGCUGACACUGAGGCGCGACAGCGUGGGGAGCAAACAGGAUUAGAUACCCUGGUAGUCCACGCCGUAAACGAUGGGCACUAGGCGCUUGGGGGAGCGACCCCCCGAGGGCCGUAGCUAACGCAUUAAGUGCCCCGCCUGGGGAGUACGG